UAGGCCAUUCGAUGUUUGUUUGUAAUCAAGACUCAAAAGUGGUUGUGCCGGUUGUAUAUGUUAAUGAUAUUCUCUUUUAUCGUAAUGGCUUAUUUGGGAUUGAACAAUUAAAUCUUAUUACAGCAAAACUUGUAGAUGAAAUAUUUGUGUUUUCUUAGAUAUGUUCUUGUAUUAAGGUGAUUCCCAGUAGGGAAGGUCUUAGUUUGUCUUAGUGAGACUGUGAUGUUAGGUUGCAAGCCUGUAGAUACUCCUAUGGAUCCUUAUUUAUAGUUGGAGCUUCUAUGACAAGGAGUUUAUAGGCAAACAUCAGAAUAGGAGGAUAGUUUGCAAACUCAUUUAUCUUACUAUUAGCAGAAUUGACAUCUUUUUUUUUUUGGCGUGACUAGUCAGUUUAUGGAGAAGCUUAAGCAGGCUUUUUGGGAGGCAGCAUGUCGUAUCGUGAGGUAAUCUUAUUACAUGGAGGAGGGAAAAAAAGAAGAAAAAAAAGACUACUGUUCGAUCUGUGCUGAGGAUGAGUAUAUAGCUAAGGUUCAUACGGCAGCUAAAUAAAUGUAGCUAAAAUCCUUUGUUCAAGAGCUUGGUCUUUCGGUCAGUGAACCUGUGGAAAUGUUAUGUGAUAAUCAUGCAACCAUUUGUAUUGCUAGUGAUCUAGUCUUCCAUGAGAGAACCAAACAUAUUGAGGUGGAUUUGUCAUUUUGUGCGGGAUGCAGUGAUGAAGAAAUUGAUUUCUACUACUUUUGUGAGCUCUGGUGAUCAACUUGGAGACUUGUUUAUCAAGGCCAUGUUUUGAAAGUGUUUCUCCAAGGGUGUUCCAACCUAUGGCAUGGGUGAUAUCUAUGCUAAACUUGAGAGGGAGUGUAAGACAUUUCUAGUGUCACAGGGGUUUUUAUGUCAGUAUCCUUAUGUUAUUGUGUCCUUAUGUGUAAUUUACACAUAAGUAUAUCCUUUCAUGCAAUUACAUUAUAUUUUAAUGUUAUACAAGGUUCCCCCACCUACUAUUAGAGAGGUAUUCUAUUCUCUCAUAUCGAUGGGUGUUUACUCUACUCUCCUCUCUUUCUUUUUUCUCCUACUUUCUUUCCUCUUCUCCCUCUUCUCUUCAUGUGCAGGUACUGGUUUCAGGUUCUAAUACCGUCACAGAAUCAAAUUUUUUUCCCUAUUAAUUUCUUUUUUGAGGACAGAACACCCCUACACACCAUUAACAUAAACUCUACCACACAUUUUCAUUGCAUGGUUCUCUAAUGAAACACCUUUUGUUUUUUGGAAGGGGGGGGGGGAGAUGAAACCUCCAAGUUACUUGGCUGUCGAAACUUGUACAGAAGAAAAAAAAAUUAUUCAUUUUCCACGACUAAUAGAGCUGAAAUCAUGAGUGACUGUGCAGUCGAGUUCAAAGAUAUGCAUGAGAACUGUCCUGAGUCAGUGCAAUUUCUGUUUUGUGGUUGCUGGUUGGUUUCUGAAUGAAAUUCCUUGGUCUGGACAGGAUCAAAUGGAUGAUAUGGAGAUGCAGAAAAUGGAAGAAGCAAGGGAGGCUUACAUUGCAGCUGUCCAUGCUGCAAAAGAAAACCAGGAUGAGGAAUCUCUAGCAGCUGCAGCUGAGGCAAGAUUCCGACUUCAAUCCUUUGUCUUCAAGACCAACAAUCAAAAUGCUGACAUAAGUAGAGGCCAUCCAAGUUUUCUGAGUUCUUGAGUUGCCAACCUGGUAUCCCUUUCCCAUAUUAUAAUCAUAUAAUUUAAGCUUGCAUAUCAGUUACUGCAAACCGUUUGUUCAUAUUUUUAAUCCAAUUUAUGCAAGAAAAUUUUUUCACUC
This is a long non-coding RNA of Macadamia integrifolia, 1804 nucleotides long. RefSeq lists it as uncharacterized. The record is from RefSeq and is a predicted model, not a curated record. The transcript has 2 exons. Lineage: Eukaryota; Viridiplantae; Streptophyta; Magnoliopsida; Proteales; Proteaceae.